RNAcentral lists this ribosomal RNA (253 nucleotides) under uncultured bacterium. RNAcentral describes it as "partial 16S ribosomal RNA". It matches the Rfam family "Bacterial small subunit ribosomal RNA", at positions 524 to 776 of the family's 1533-position model. The record is from RNAcentral.
UACGGGGGGAGCAAGCGUUGUUCGGAUUUACUGGGCGUAAAGGGCGCGUAGGCGGCGCAACAAGUCACUUGUGAAAUCUCCGGGCUUAACCCGGAGCGGCCAAGUGAUACUGUCGUGCUAGAGUGCGGAAGGGGCUACUGGAAUUCUCGGUGUAGCGGUGAAAUGCGUAGAUAUACGGAGGAACACCAGCGGCGAAGGCGGGUAGCUGGGCCAACACUGACGCUGAUGCGCGAAAGCUAGGGUAGCAAACGGG